GCUGGCGGCGUGCCUAACACAUGCAAGUCGUGCGAGAAAGUUCCUUCGGGAGCGAGUAAAGCGGCGCACGGGUGAGUAACACGUAGGUAACCUGCCCCCCAGUCUGGAACAACUAGAGGAAACUCUAGCUAAUGCCGGAUGAGACCACGAUCCCUUCGGGGGUUGCGGCCAAAGAUGGCCUCUACUUGUAAGCUAUCGCUGAGGGAUGGGCCUGCGGGCCAUUAGCUUGUUGGUGAGGUAACGGCUCACCAAGGCUGUGAUGGCUAGCUGGUCUGAGAGGAUGACCAGCCACACUGGGACUGAGACACGGCCCAGACUCCUACGGGAGGCAGCAGUGGGGAAUAUUGGACAAUGGGCGAAAGCCUGAUCCAGCAAUGCCGCGUGAGUGAUGAAGGCCUUAGGGUUGUAAAGCUCUUUUACCCGAGAUGAUAAUGACAGUAUCGGGAGAAUAAGCUCCGGCUAACUCCGUA
RNAcentral lists this ribosomal RNA (470 nucleotides) under uncultured bacterium. RNAcentral's name for it is "bacterial SSU rRNA". It matches the Rfam family "Bacterial small subunit ribosomal RNA", at positions 35 to 507 of the family's 1533-position model. The record is from RNAcentral.